AUCUCCCGUCAAAUAUUAUUAAUUAUGUAAUAAUAUUUUACACUAAGGUUACUAACCUUUUAAUAACAUUCCAGUCACAUACUACUAAUAAUAUCUCAAUACCAUAUUAUUAGUCACAUAAAAAUAAUUUAUGUCAUUAAUCACUUAAAUAAACAAUUAUUUCCAUUGUUUUCCUUCCCGAAUUAAUAAACUUGUUUAAACAUUUUAAAAUGUCAUAAACAUCACAACACCUUAAACCCGACCCAAAACUUCAUCACAAACUUGCAUACGCCAUGCUCACGGGUCUCAC
RNAcentral lists this long non-coding RNA (289 nucleotides) under Panax ginseng (ginseng). RNAcentral's name for it is "long non-coding RNA (PGIN_LNC006049)". Lineage: Eukaryota; Viridiplantae; Streptophyta; Magnoliopsida; Apiales; Araliaceae. The record is from RNAcentral.